This 205-nucleotide microRNA precursor is filed under the name Oryza sativa Indica Group (long-grained rice). RNAcentral's name for it is "MIR812 microRNA precursor family". It matches the Rfam family "MIR812 microRNA precursor family". Lineage: Eukaryota; Viridiplantae; Streptophyta; Magnoliopsida; Poales; Poaceae. The record is from Rfam by way of RNAcentral.
AAAAAGGCAAAUCCUAACUUUCCGUGUCCAACUUUAACUGUCCGUCUUAUAUGAAAUUGUUUUAUAAUUCGUAUUUUUAUUGUUGUUAGAUGAUAAAACAUGAUUAAUAUUUUAUGCGUGACUUGUCUUUUUAAUUUUUUUCAUAUUUUUUUCAAAUAAGACGGACGGUCAAAUAUUGGAUACGGAAACCAGGGUUUGUCUUUUU